UUCCCUGUUCCCGUCGCCACCGUGGACCGCCGCUCGAACGCCGGAGUUGCUACCGUUCCGGCGAGGCCCCGGCUCUCCCUUGCUGCCGCCGAGCUGCUGCCGCCUCAGCCGGACCUCCUUGCCGCCCGGCUGUGACCGAGAGCCUCGCAAUCGCCGCCGCCGCCGUUCCGACGACUUCCCCGCUGUCCAGCCUCGUUUUAUUGCUCAAAUCGAGGUCCGCGACCGUAGUUGAUUGGAGACCCUGCAAGGAUAAUCUCGAGGAUCGAAGACGGGUCAAGGACCCUGUAUUUUGAGUGACCCAUUUUGUAGAGUAGUUAAGUUGACGAACCACGGUCUCUUUUGUUGAAUGUGGUUCUGUCGUUUUUGGCCUAGUGGGCAGUUGUCUUUUGUGAACAUUGUAUGUAUCUACCAAGUGCAUGAAUUGCAAGUAUUGAAGUGUACUAUUGCU
Syzygium oleosum is the source of this 448-nucleotide long non-coding RNA. RefSeq lists it as uncharacterized. NCBI's taxonomy places the organism in Eukaryota, Viridiplantae, Streptophyta, Magnoliopsida, Myrtales, Myrtaceae. The record is from RefSeq and is a predicted model, not a curated record. The transcript is spliced from 2 exons.